This is a long non-coding RNA of Stomoxys calcitrans (stable fly), 318 nucleotides long. RefSeq lists it as uncharacterized. NCBI's taxonomy places the organism in Eukaryota, Metazoa, Arthropoda, Insecta, Diptera, Muscidae. The record is from RefSeq and is a predicted model, not a curated record. The transcript has 2 exons.
GGGUUGCCCAAAAAGUACUUGCGGAUUUUUUAAAAGAAACAAGCAAGCAAGUAACAGCUGAUAACUGACAGAAGAAAGAAUGCAAUUACAGAGUCGCAAGCUGUGAAAAAAUUUGUCAACGCCGACUAUAUGAAAAAUCCGCAAUUACUUUUUGGGCAACCCAUAGCUGGCCUGGUGUGAUUCUCUACAGCCAUAAGAGUUUGCGGCCCCCCUUUGACAUGGAUCAAUUUUGAAAAUUAUUUAAAUUCGUAUUUAACUCCCAAAUAACUUUCGUUAGAUGGGCCGACUCCCCUGGAAUAGACCCAAAUUUUUAUAUAA